ACAUACUUCUUUAUAUGCCCAUAUGAACCUGGCAAGCUAUGGAAUGUAAAGAAGUAUGUAU
Molecule: microRNA precursor, 61 nt
Filed under: Chrysemys picta bellii (western painted turtle)
Lineage: Eukaryota; Metazoa; Chordata; Testudines; Emydidae
Also listed under: 3 other names
Description: Cpi-Mir-1-P3_pre stem-loop
Rfam family: mir-1 microRNA precursor family
About the family: This family represents the microRNA (miRNA) mir-1 family. miRNAs are transcribed as ~70nt precursors (modelled here) and subsequently processed by the Dicer enzyme to give a ~22nt product. In this case the mature sequence comes from the 3' arm of the precursor.
Source: RNAcentral